RNAcentral lists this ribosomal RNA (273 nucleotides) under uncultured bacterium. RNAcentral describes it as "partial 16S ribosomal RNA". It matches the Rfam family "Bacterial small subunit ribosomal RNA", at positions 85 to 354 of the family's 1533-position model. The record is from RNAcentral.
CCGCCGGCGACCGGCGCACGGGUGAGUAACACGUAUGCAACCUGGCCGUGACAGAUGGAUAACCGGGAGAAAUCCCGCCUAAUACAACAUAAUGCCGGGAGGGGACAUCCCCUGCCGGCCAAAGGGGCGACCCCGGUCACGGAUGGGCAUGCGGCGCAUUAGGUAGUUGGUGGGGCAACGGCCCACCAAGCCGACGAUGCGUAGGGGUUCUGAGAGGAAGGUCCCCCCACAUUGGAACUGAGACACGGUCCAAACUCCUACGGAAGGCAGCAG